GAUGAACGCUGGCGGCGUGCCUAAUACAUGCAAGUCGAGCGAACAGAUGAGGAGCUUGCUCCUCUGACGUUAGCGGCGGACGGGUGAGUAACACGUGGAUAACCUACCUAUAAGACUGGGAUAACUUCGGGAAACCGGAGCUAAUACCGGAUAAUAUAUUGAACCGCAUGGUUCAAUAGUGAAAGACGGUUUUGCUGUCACUUAUAGAUGGAUCCGCGCCGCAUUAGCUAGUUGGUAAGGUAACGGCUUACCAAGGCAACGAUGCGUAGCCGACCUGAGAGGGUGAUCGGCCACACUGGAACUGAGAGACGGUCCAGACUCCUACGGGAGGCAGCAGUAGGGAAUCUUCCGCAGUGGGCGAAAGCCUGACGGAGCAACGCCGCGUGAGUGAUGAAGGUCUUCGGAUCGUAAAACUCUGUUAUUAGGGAAGAACAAAUGUGUAAGUAACUAUGCACGUCUUGACGGUACCUAAUCAGAAAGCCACGGCUAACUACGU
RNAcentral lists this ribosomal RNA (496 nucleotides) under uncultured bacterium. RNAcentral's name for it is "partial 16S ribosomal RNA". It matches the Rfam family "Bacterial small subunit ribosomal RNA", at positions 28 to 506 of the family's 1533-position model. The record is from RNAcentral.